Oncorhynchus nerka (sockeye salmon) is the source of this 608-nucleotide long non-coding RNA. RefSeq lists it as uncharacterized. The record is from RefSeq and is a predicted model, not a curated record. NCBI's taxonomy places the organism in Eukaryota, Metazoa, Chordata, Actinopteri, Salmoniformes, Salmonidae. The transcript is spliced from 2 exons.
CCGGGUUUGUGCCAUUGGGGAGAUCUUCAUGGGCUAUACUUGGCCUUGUCUCAGGAUGGACCUGAGCCCUAGGACCAUGCCUCAGGCCUACCUGGCCUGAUGACUCUUUGCUAUCCCCAAGCCACCUGGCCGCACUGCUGCUCCAGUUUCAACUGUUCUGCGGCUAUGGAACCCUGACCUGUUCACCGGACCUGCUACCUGUCCCAGACCUGCUGUUUUCAACUCUCUAGAGACAGCAUGAGCGGUAGAGAUACUCUGAAUGGUCGGCUAUGAAAAGACAACUGACAUUUACUCCUGAGGUGCUGACCUAUUGCACCCUUGUUGACCACUGUGAUUGUUAUUUGACGCUGCUGGUCAUCUAUGAGCAUUUGAACAUCUUGGCCAUGUUCUGUUAUAAUCUCCACCCGGCACAGCCAUAAGAGGACUGGCCACCCCUCAGAGCCUGGUUCCUCUCUGGGUUUCAUCCUAGGUUCUGGCAAUUCUAGGGAGUUUUUCCUAGCCACUGUGCAUCUACACCUGCAUUGCUUGUUUGGUGUUUUAGGCUGGGUUUAUGUACAACACUUGCUGAUGUAAGAAGGGCUUUAUAAAUACAUUUGAUUGGAUUUGAA